RNAcentral lists this ribosomal RNA (192 nucleotides) under uncultured bacterium. RNAcentral's name for it is "partial 16S ribosomal RNA". It matches the Rfam family "Bacterial small subunit ribosomal RNA", at positions 1309 to 1500 of the family's 1533-position model. The record is from RNAcentral.
AACUCGCCUACAUGAAGUUGGAAUCGCUAGUAAUCGCGAAUCAGAAUGUCGCGGUGAAUACGUUCCCGGGUCUUGUACACACCGCCCGUCACACCACGAGAGUUUACAACACCCGAAGUCAGUGGCCUAACCGCAAGGAGGGAGCUGCCUAAGGUGGGGUAGAUGAUCGGGGUGAAGUCGUAACAAGGUACC